CCUACGGGAGGCAGCAGUGGGGAAUUUUGGACAAUGGGCGCAAGCCUGAUCCAGCAAUGCCGCGUGAGUGAAGAAGGCCUUCGGGUUGUAAAGCUCUUUUGUCAGGGAAGAAACGGCUGAGGAUAAUACCUUUGGCUAAUGACGGUACCUGAAGAAUAAGCACCGGCUAACUACGUGCCAGCAGCCGCGGUAAUACGUAGGGUGCAAGCGUUAAUCGGAAUUACUGGGCGUAAAGCGUGCGCAGGCGGUUUUGUAAGUCUGUCGUGAAAUCCCCGGGCUCAACCUGGGAAUUGCGAUGGAGACUGCAAGGCUGGAGUCUGGCAGAGGGGGGUAGAAUUCCACGUGUAGCAGUGAAAUGCGUAGAGAUGUGGAGGAACACCGAUGGCGAAGGCAGCCCCCUGGGUCAAGACUGACGCUCAUGCACGAAAGCGUGGGGAGCAAACAGGAUUAGAUACCCUGGUAGUCCACGCCCUAAACGAUGUCUACUAGUUGUCGGGUCUUAAUUGACUUGGUAACGCAGCUAACGCGUGAAGUAGACCGCCUGGGGAAGUACGGUCGCAAGUAUUAAAACCGUUAAAGGAAUUGACGGCUGGAGACGNGCGAGACGACGACGAGGAGGAGG
RNAcentral lists this ribosomal RNA (622 nucleotides) under uncultured bacterium. RNAcentral's name for it is "bacterial SSU rRNA". It matches the Rfam family "Bacterial small subunit ribosomal RNA", at positions 338 to 947 of the family's 1533-position model. The record is from RNAcentral.